UACGAAGGGGACUAGCGUUGUUCGGAAUCACUGGGCGUAAAGCGCACGUAGGCGGAUGUGUCAGUCAGGGGUGAAAUCCCGGGGCUCAACCUCGGAACUGCCUUUGAUACAGCACGUCUCGAGUCCGGAAGAGGUGGGUGGAAUUCCUAGUGUAGAGGUGAAAUUCGUAGAUAUUCGGAAGAACACCAGUGGCGAAGGCGACAUACUGGUCCGUUACUGACGCUGAGGCUCGAAAGCGUGGGGAGCAAACAGG
This 253-nucleotide ribosomal RNA is filed under the name uncultured bacterium. RNAcentral describes it as "partial 16S ribosomal RNA". It matches the Rfam family "Bacterial small subunit ribosomal RNA", at positions 524 to 776 of the family's 1533-position model. The record is from RNAcentral.